RNAcentral lists this ribosomal RNA (254 nucleotides) under uncultured bacterium. RNAcentral describes it as "partial 16S ribosomal RNA". It matches the Rfam family "Bacterial small subunit ribosomal RNA", at positions 524 to 776 of the family's 1533-position model. The record is from RNAcentral.
UACGUAGGGUGCGAGCGUUAAUCGGAAUUACUGGGCGUAAAGCGUGCGCAGGCGGUUCGUCAAGUCUUGUGUGAAAGCCCCGGGCUCAACCUGGGAAUGGCAUGGGAAACUGGCGAGCUGGAGUGCGGCAGAGGGGGGUGGAAUUCCGCGUGUAGCAGUGAAAUGCGUAGAGAUGCGGAGGAACACCAGUGGCGAAAGGCGGCUCACUGGACCGGUUCUGACGCUGAGGCGCGAAAGCGUGGGGAGCGAACGGG